GUGCCAGCAGCCGCGGUAAUACGUAGGGGGCAAGCGUUGUCCGGAUUUAUUGGGCGUAAAGCGCGCGUAGGCGGUCCGUUAAGUCGGGUGUGAAAACCCGGGGCUCAACCCCGGGCCUGCAUUCGAUACUGGCGGGCUGGAGGCAGGCAGGGGAGAGCGGAAUUCCCGGUGUAGCGGUGAAAUGCGCAGAUAUCGGGAGGAACACCGGUGGCGAAGGCGGCUCUCUGGGCCUGUCCUGACGCUCAGGCGCGAAAGCUGGGGGAGCAAACAGGAUUAGAUACCCUCGUAGUCC
RNAcentral lists this ribosomal RNA (292 nucleotides) under uncultured bacterium. RNAcentral describes it as "partial 16S ribosomal RNA". It matches the Rfam family "Bacterial small subunit ribosomal RNA", at positions 505 to 796 of the family's 1533-position model. The record is from RNAcentral.